Chiroxiphia lanceolata (lance-tailed manakin) is the source of this 1585-nucleotide long non-coding RNA. RefSeq lists it as uncharacterized. The transcript has 3 exons. The record is from RefSeq and is a predicted model, not a curated record. Lineage: Eukaryota; Metazoa; Chordata; Aves; Passeriformes; Pipridae.
UGGGAUCGUGCUGGGUGACAUUGUCAUUGUGGGUGGCAUUUUUGUUUUCCAGGUGUUUCUGUGACCUCAAGUAACACGGGUGUGCCUGAUAUCAGCGGCUCAGUCUAUAACAAGACUCAGACGUUUGACAAGCAGGGAUUCCAUGCUGGCACUCCGCCUCCCUUCAGCCUGCCCUCUGCUCUCGGAUCCACUGGGCCCCUGAACCCUGGUGCUGCCCCAGGUUAUGCUCCAGCCCCGUUUCUCCAUAUCCUCCCUGCGCAUCAGCAGCCUCAUUCCCAGAUGCUGCAUCACCACCUUCAGCAGGAUGGGCAGGGUGGAUCUGGCCAACGCAACCAACCCAGCACCAUGCAGCAAAAGUCUCAGGCUACCAAAACCGCCUAUGGCACUUCUCCAUACUGGACAAACUAAAUCCGAAAUGGGGGAAGGGAGAGAGAACGAAAGGAGAGAAGGAAAAAGAAAAAAAAGAAAAAAAAAAAAAGAAAACAGAAAAAGGAAAACAAAAGCCGAAGCCCAUUCCUGGAAUUAUUAGGAGAAGUAACUGCUCAGCCAAACGUCUGUGCGGGGAGAACUGCAGCCAGCCAGCCAUCCUCUGUGUGACUCGCCUGCUUCCUCUUUGAGUUGCUGUUGUAUGUAAUAUAUUUAUGUAUGUAUUUGUAAAUGUAAUAGAGCCUAAAUGUGGUUUUCUGCAUCUUGAAGCCUCUUUUAUUUUCUUUGUAGGAAAACUAAUUAUUCAUUUUCCAUCUGCACCAGGGCAUCCUUCCUUCCUUUUUUUUUUCUUUUUUUUUUUAAGCUCUAUGGGUUUUUGAACUCUGUCAGACAAAAGACAAACUGCGCCUUUUUUUUUUCUUGUUGUUGUAGAGCUGGAUCCCAUUUAUUGAAUGCAGUUCUAAAUUCAGGCAAAUAAGGAGACCUGCCCUUCCAAAAAAGCAAAGCAAGAUGUGUCCUGUUGGGUUUAUAUCUAUCCCUAGCCCCCAGUAUAGCUGUUAUUUUAAAGAGGGGGAAAAUAAAAGAAAGAAAAAGAAUUUUUUUAUCGGCCUUCCCCUUUCUUUCAUCUCCUCCUUCCCUCCUGCUGUGCAAGACAAACUUUCAUGGGCUGUUUUGUCAUUGUGGCCUUGAGCUGCAGCCUCACCUUUGAAUUUUUCAGUUUUUUGAUAAUAAUAAUAAUAAAAAAAAAAGGACAGGAUUUUCUGUUUUGGUUUUUUGGUUUUGGUUUGUUUGGUUUUUUUUGGUUUGGUUUUUUUUUUGUUGUUGUUGUUUAUUUGUUUUUGGGGAUUUUUGUUGUUGUUUUUCUCUAGCAAGAGACUGGAUGGCUCCUGGAACCUCCUUUGCAUCAUUAGAGGCAAAAACUAUGUAGCGGUUUCUUAAAUAAAAGUAUAAGCUGUGUCUUGUACAUCUUUUUGCCCUGAGCCACCCUCCCAGGAAAGCCAGAGCGACUGGAUGGAAACUUCAUCUGUCCCUCCCUACUUUUUUUAAAACAAAGGCCCUCGAGGCAACUCCUGGUCCUUCUUGUCCUACACCAGUGCGGUGAAUGUUCUAGGAUUUUCAUUUCUUUAUAGCCCUUCCUCCACCUAAUAAAGAUCUGAGC